AGAGUGAACGCUGGCGGUAGGCCUAACACAUGCAAGUCGAACGGCAGCACAGUGGUAGCAAUACCAUGGGUGGCGAGUGGCGGACGGGUGAGGAAUACAUCGGAAUCUACCUUUUCGUGGGGGAUAACGUAGGGAAACUUACGCUAAUACCGCAUACGCCCUUCGGGGGAAAGCCGGGGAUCGCAAGACCUGGCGCGGAUAGAUGAGCCGAUGUCGGAUUAGCUAGUUGGUGAGGUAAUGGCUCACCAAGGCGACGAUCCGUAGCUGGUCUGAGAGGAUGAUCAGCCACACUAGGACUGAGACGACGGUCCAGA
This 314-nucleotide ribosomal RNA is filed under the name uncultured soil bacterium. RNAcentral's name for it is "bacterial SSU rRNA". It matches the Rfam family "Bacterial small subunit ribosomal RNA", at positions 26 to 335 of the family's 1533-position model. The record is from RNAcentral.